RNAcentral lists this ribosomal RNA (447 nucleotides) under uncultured bacterium. RNAcentral's name for it is "bacterial SSU rRNA". It matches the Rfam family "Bacterial small subunit ribosomal RNA", at positions 355 to 825 of the family's 1533-position model. The record is from RNAcentral.
UCGGGAAUUUUGGGCAAUGGGCGAAAGCCUGACCCAGCAACGCCGCGUGAAGGAUGAAGUAUUUCGGUAUGUAAACUUCGAAAGAAUAGGAAGAAUAAAUGACGGUACUAUUUAUAAGGUCCGGCUAACUACGUGCCAGCAGCCGCGGUAAUACGUGGGGACCAAGCGUUGUUCGGAUUUACUGGGCGUAAAGGGCGCGUAGGCGGCAUGACAAGUCACUUGUGAAAUCUCUGGGCUUAACCCAGAACGGCCAAGUGAUACUGUCGCGCUAGAGUGCAGAAGGGGCAAUCGGAAUUCUUGGUGUAGCGGUGAAAUGCGUAGAUAUCAAGAGGAACACCUGAGGUGAAGACGGGUUGCUGGGCUGACACUGACGCUGAGGCGCGAAAGCCAGGGGAGCAAACGGGAUUAGAUACCCGUGUAGUCCCUGAGCGGGCUGGCAAGGCGCAU